This 72-nucleotide transfer RNA is filed under the name Bos taurus (domestic cattle). It matches the Rfam family "tRNA". From Rfam's summary of the family: Transfer RNA (tRNA) molecules are approximately 80 nucleotides in length. Their secondary structure includes four short double-helical elements and three loops (D, anti-codon, and T loops). Further hydrogen bonds mediate the characteristic L-shaped molecular structure. tRNAs have two regions of fundamental functional importance: the anti-codon, which is responsible for specific mRNA codon recognition, and the 3' end, to which the tRNAs corresponding amino acid is attached (by aminoacyl-tRNA synthetases). tRNAs cope with the degeneracy of the genetic code in two manners: having more than one tRNA (with a specific anti-codon) for a particular amino acid; and 'wobble' base-pairing, i.e. permitting non-standard base-pairing at the 3rd anti-codon position. Lineage: Eukaryota; Metazoa; Chordata; Mammalia; Artiodactyla; Bovidae. The record is from Rfam by way of RNAcentral. RNAcentral also lists the same sequence under 4 other names.
UCCCUGAUGGCUCAGAGGUUAAAGCAUCUGCCUGCAAUGUGGGAGACCUGGGUUCGAUCCCAGGGUUGGGAA